UUUCCCUUUCCCUAUUUUCCCUCUCUUCCACGAAUCUCUCUCUCUCUCUCUCACUACUGUGUUGCUUCAGCUAGGCCCGAACGGUCGUCGUCCCAUCGCUGGAGCCGUACAUGUGCCAGCCAAGUCGAACCACUAGCCCUCGAAACGUUGACCCCCACGAGCUCACCACGGUACGCACCGCCCAGGGCUGUCAACCAACAGUCCGAAGCCGUCCGCCUCCUGCACUUUCUGGCAAGAUUCUGACUACCCCGAGCCUCCCCAAGCCUAACCAGCAUCACCACCAUACUCCUCGUGGUCUAAGCUUCAAAACCCACCAAAGGAUCGGCCUCACUAGUGGUUGGAAAAAGAAAGGGUAUUAGUCGGAAUCCAUGGAGGUCCGAAGCUUGUAGUGGAACCACCGCCGUUGUCACCAUUAGAUAGGGGGAAGAUCUCAUCAUAGCGAAUUUGGGGGAUUCAAGGGCUGUUUUGCGAACUAAGAACUAGAUGUGUGUAUGUAUAUACAUAUAUAUAUAUAUAUAUAUAUAUGUGUGUGUGUGUGUGUGUGCAUGCAGGAUUUUUGCAGACUUCCAGAAACGUUUUCAUCCUAAUUCCCAAAUCUAUAUACCAAUUCCAACAUGGUCCAACCAUCAUAACAUUUGGAGAGAUGCCCAAGUUCCUCAGAGGACUUUGCAUUACUAUCACCCAGAAUCUAAGGGGUUAGAUUUUGAUGGACUGGUGGAUGACAUUAAGGUAAGUUAAUGUACAUUCUCAAAAAUAAUUAUUAAGCUUUAUACACAAAUUUCAAUCAGCAAAAUUUGUUUACUCUAAUCUAAUGGCCAGCCUGCCAAACCUACUUAUAAUGUCUAUAGUCUUAACUGCAAAAACGAAUUGCACUACAUCACAAUCACAAAUAUUUUAGGCGUGGUUUGAUUUUGUUUCUCUACACCAGCACAAAUUAGCAGAUACUUCUUUUAACUAUGGACGGUAGAAGUGUAAUCUAUAUAUAUAUUAAAUAUAUGUAUGUAGGAAGCUAGUAUAUUCUGGUGUAUGAUCACUCAUCAUAAUUAAAGUAUCCAAUUCUUAUUGGGUAAUAUUUAUUUUGUGUGAAUGAUGUAUGUAUCUAUCUGGUUCUUGUAUAUAGAAAAAGUAAAAAGGUAGUCAGAUCAGAUCAUUAUCGUUGGAAAAAUAAAGGCGCACAUUGAUGAGGGGAGAGCACAUAUAUCAUUGUUGUCCCUGAUGUCACCUACCAUCGUCUCACUCCCAAAGACCAAUUCAUGGUUCUCACCACUGAUGGGGUUUGGGAUGUGUUGAUGAAUGGUCUGCGAUUUUCCUCUUCUUUCAGAAUUAACAUUAUCCUGGUUUGAAGACUUGAGAUGUUUUUGUUGCACUGUUAUUUGUUUCAAUCAAAAUAAUGGGCAUGCUUGCCUCUGUCUAUGCUUUGCUUUGUCUUUUGUUUCAACCAACAGUCGGAAACUUGUCUUUGUCUAUUAACAGGAAAUAUUAAUGAAAGUUAUUUCUUAUAAACCUUUAUAGGAACCAGCCGCCCCACACAUUACCAUGUCUUGUUUGAUGAGAACAAGUUCAAUGCUAAUACCUUGCAAGUUCUCACGAACAAUCUCUGCUACACGGAAAUACUAUUCAUUUUUAUUUUUUGUUCUCCAAUUUCAACAUUCUAUUGUGAACUAUUUUUGUUGGGCCUGUUCUUGACCUGAAUUUGGUUUUUCAGGUAUGCAAGGUGCACCAGAUCAGUCUCCAUCGGUAUGCCCUGUGUUGCACUAUCCCGAAUACUAUGGUAUAAAUUCCUAUCCCGAGCCCGUUGCACUAUCCCGAGCGCUAUGGUAUAAAUUCCUAUCUCAGAUUCUAAUUAUUUUAAGUUUUAAAAUUAUUUGUGAGUUAGGAAACUAAAAUGUAAUUGUGUAUGUUCACAGUAUAUUGAGAGUUAAUUAGUAUAAUGAGUUGAUCUGUGAUUUUAUUGGUGAUUUUAUUGGACUGCUCUGGGACUGUCAUAUGCCUUGUUUGCAGGUUUUUAAAAUUUGGAGAUGUCUGAUUUGCAGCUGUUGUGCUGCUCCCUUUUCUAGAAAUUUAUGGACUCUUGUCUAGUUACUUUGCAACUCUAGUCUUAUUCACAACUUGUUGUGUUGCUUUAACAACUUUGAAUUAGAUUUAUAAAUUUGGAUUAGUCUAUUUCACAACUUGUUGUGUUGCUUUAACAACUUUGUCUGGUAUGCUUGUUAUGUUACUUUAACAAAUGUUAUUUGGUAUGCUUGUGUUUCAUAUUAAUGAUCUAUUAUAUUUAUGUUCUCGGUGCUCUUAUUUAUAACUAUAUUAUCUUUUUUUUUUCUUGCUAAGUACUAUGGACUUAGAAUCUGAAGCAUCUAUCUUGUUUGAUAAGAAAAAUACAACUUUUAUAUAAAUCAUUUUUGUGACUAAAGAUCAGUCAUCCGUUUUAUUUCUUCUGCAACCUCAAGUUCUCUAUUUAUUUUAGUUUUGGUUUGACUUUAAUGGUGUUUAUUCUGUAUUGUUGGCUAAAACUCUACUUGGAUAUUUAAGAGAACCAAGAUAAUUAUUUAAGAGAACCAAGGCAACAAGAAAUUGUUCAAGUUGUUGGGUAUUAUUUUCUUUCUUGCUUGUAAGAAUUAUGUACAUUGAGGAUUUGAUGUAUUAUUUACAUUGAGAAUAAUGAAUUUUUAUUGAGAAUUAUAAUAAUUUUUUAUUGAGAA
Long non-coding RNA from Humulus lupulus (European hop), 2699 nucleotides. RefSeq lists it as uncharacterized. Lineage: Eukaryota; Viridiplantae; Streptophyta; Magnoliopsida; Rosales; Cannabaceae. The transcript is spliced from 4 exons. The record is from RefSeq and is a predicted model, not a curated record.